This 1547-nucleotide ribosomal RNA is filed under the name uncultured Glomeromycotina. RNAcentral's name for it is "eukaryotic LSU rRNA". The stretch from base 700 to 1547 matches the Rfam family "Eukaryotic large subunit ribosomal RNA", at positions 1 to 695 of the family's 3401-position model. Lineage: Eukaryota; Fungi; Glomeromycota. The record is from RNAcentral.
UCGCUCUUCAACGAGGAAUCCCUAGUAAGCACAAGUCAUCAGCUUGUGCUGAUUACGUCCCUGCCCUUUGUACACACCGCCCGUCGCUACUACCGAUUGAAUGGCUUAGUGAGACCCUCGGAUUGACUUUCAUCGGCUGUAAAAGGCUUUUGGUUGUUGAAAAGUUGGUCAAACUUGGUCAUUUAGAGGAAGUAAAAGUCGUAACAAGGUUUCCGUAGGUGAACCUGCGGAAGGAUCAUUAUCAAUUCUAGCAAGUACCCUUUAGGGCUCUUGCGCACGUAUUUAAAACCCCACACUUUAUGAAAUUUUAUAUAUAUUUUACUUUUAAUAAGUAAUUAAAAGAUCACUUUCAACAACGGAUCUCUUGGUUCUCGCAUCGAUGAAGAACGUAGCGAAGUGCGAUAAGUAGUGUGAAUUGCAGAAUUCCGUGGAUCAUCGAAUUUUUGAACGCAAAUUGCACUCUCUGGUAUUCCGGAGAGUAUGCCUGUUUGAGGGUCAGUAAAAUAAAAAAUCGAUAUGUUACCUUGUCGUGACAUUUCGGAAUUGAGCCAUCUUAGAAAAUUUUUAGGUUUAAGAGGCUUAAAAUUGACCACUUUUUGGUAUGAUUUAAGCGUUGCUAAGAUUACGUUUAAUGAGUACCGAUGUUUAUUAGGCAUGACCAUGAUCAUGGUUUCGUGCCCAUAAUUUUUUAUCAUGAAAUGACCUCAAAUCAGGUAGGAUUACCCGCUGAACUUAAGCAUAUCAAUAAGCGGAGGAAAAGAAAAUAACAAUGAUUCCCCUAGUAACGGCGAGCGAAGAGGGAAUAGCUCAAAUUUUAAAUCUGUUGGGUUUUACCUAACCGAGUUGUAAUUUGAAGAAACGUUUUCUGCGUCUUGAUUUAGCCUAAAUCCUUUGGGAUAAGGUAUCAAGGAGGGUGAGAAUCCCGUCUGGUUAGAUCAAAAUGCUUUACGAUACGUUUUCUAAGAGUCGAGUUGUUUGGGAAUGCAGCUCAAAAUGGGAGGUAAAUUUCUCCUAAGGCUAAAUAUAGGCGAGAGACCGAUAGCGAACAAGUACCGUGAGGGAAAGAUGAAAAGAACUUUGAAAAGAGAGUUGAACAGUACGUGAAAUUGUUGAAAGGGAAACGAUUGAAGUCAGUCGUACCGACGGAAAAUCAGCUUUUUGAGUGCGGACUUGUGGGUUUACGUGAGCUUUACGGCCUCGUUUGUUUGCAAUGUUCGUUCUUUUUGGGUGUACUUUUUCGUAUGGUUGGUCAGCAUCGGUUUUGAUCGUUAUAAAAUGACAGGAGGAAUGUAGCUUCGAUCUCGUAUUGAAGUGUUAUAGACUUUGGUAGAUGUAACGGUUAGGAUCGAGGAUUGCAAUGGAUACCCUCAUGGGCUAUCCGCCUGGCCUCUGAUUUGUCACUUUGGUGCCGAAAGCGUGCUUAUGGUAUUAAAGCGUACGGUCAAAAGGUUAGAACGGAUUAUAUUCAUUAAGGAUGUUGACGUAAUGGCUUUAAACGACCCGUCUUGAAACACGGACCAAGGAGUCUAACAUAUAUGCGAGUGUUC